Molecule: ribosomal RNA, 252 nt
Filed under: uncultured bacterium
Lineage: Bacteria
Description: partial 16S ribosomal RNA
Rfam family: Bacterial small subunit ribosomal RNA
Source: RNAcentral
UACGUAGGGGGCAAGCGUUGUCCGGAUUUACUGGGCGUAAAGAGCGUGUAGGCGGCCAUACAGGUCCGUUGUGAAAACUGGAGGCUCAACUUCCAGACGUCGACGGAAACCGUGUGGCUAGAGUCCGGAAGAGGAGAGUGGAAUUCCUGGUGUAGCGGUGAAAUGCGCAGAUAUCAGGAAGAACACCAAUGGCGAAGGCAGCUUGCUGGCAUGUUUCUGACGCUAAGGCACGAAAGCGUGGGAGCGAACAGG